This 476-nucleotide unclassified non-coding RNA is filed under the name Hevea brasiliensis (rubber tree). Lineage: Eukaryota; Viridiplantae; Streptophyta; Magnoliopsida; Malpighiales; Euphorbiaceae. The record is from RNAcentral.
AGAGAACUGAAAAUGAAGAAUGAAAACAUUCUCUCGCAUGUAUUGAAAUGGUCUUCACACUCUAUAUAUACAUAGAAGAUUGAAAAUAUCUAGAAUCUAAUUGGAAAAUAUCUAGUAUAGCUAAGCUAUCUAAUUUCCGCCGAAGUAACUAAUUAACUUCCUCAUGAAUCCUUUCGGCUUUGGCCUUUUUUCGAUCUCUCUCGGAUCCCUCUCAUUCUCUGAUGAUGUUGGUGCUACGCACCGUUUCAUUUAACUUUCCUUUACUCACAGUUUUUAUUAAUCAUCUUCAUCUCUUCUCCAGCGGGGCUUCGACUUUCUUUUCUCUUUAUAAAUACUAGUUAUCUUCAGCUGAUCAUCGACUGUCAGUGGACUUCCGAUUUUAUCAAUAAUUCACCAUAUUUAUUAUUAAUAUCAAUGAUAUUUGCUGAAAUUAAUAAAAUUAAAUGAAUUGCACAAAAAAUUUAUACUUACUUGGG